This 174-nucleotide ribosomal RNA is filed under the name Trichoderma koningiopsis. RNAcentral describes it as "partial 28S ribosomal RNA". The record is from RNAcentral. Lineage: Eukaryota; Fungi; Ascomycota; Sordariomycetes; Hypocreales; Hypocreaceae.
UUGACCUCGGAUCAGGUAGGAAUACCCGCUGAACUUAAGCAUAUCAAUAAGCGGAGGAACCCCCCCAAACCCCCGGGGGGGGGGUUUCCCUUUUUUGCCCCCCCAGGAUAUUUGGCCCCGGGGGGGGUGGAACCCGCAGUCCCUGUGGGAAGCCGCGGGGGAAAAAACAGGAAU